Non-coding RNA from Capsicum annuum, 71 nucleotides. The record is from Rfam. Lineage: Eukaryota; Viridiplantae; Streptophyta; Magnoliopsida; Solanales; Solanaceae.
GUGGAUAUGAUCGAAUGGUAAAAAUUUUCUUUGCCAAGGAGAGGAUGCGGGUUCGAUUUUCGCUAUCCACC